UGGGGAAUAUUGGGCAAUGGGCGCAAGCCUGACCCAGCAACGCCGCGUGAAGGAAGAAGGCUUUCGGGUUGUAAACUUCUUUUAUCAGGGACGAAGCAAGUGACGGUACCUGAUGAAUAAGCCACGGCUAACUACGUGCCAGCAGCCGCGGUAAUACGUAGGUGGCGAGCGUUAUCCGGAUUUACUGGGUGUAAAGGGCGUGUAGGCGGGCUUGCAAGUCAGAUGUGAAAUUCCAGGGCUCAACCCUGGAACUGCAUUUGAAACUGUAGGUCUUGAGUGCUGGAGAGGCGAUCGGAAUUCCGUGUGUAGCGGUGAAAUGCGUAGAUAUGACGGAGGCAACACCGAGUGGCGAAGGCGAUGCUGGACAGUAACUGACGCUGAGGCGCGAAAGCGUGGGGAGCAAACAGGAUUAGAUACC
This 418-nucleotide ribosomal RNA is filed under the name uncultured bacterium. Its description in RNAcentral is "bacterial SSU rRNA". It matches the Rfam family "Bacterial small subunit ribosomal RNA", at positions 355 to 786 of the family's 1533-position model. The record is from RNAcentral.